UUUGUGGAGAGUUUGAUCCUGGCUCAGGACGAACGCUGGCGGCAUGCCUAACACAUGCAAGUCGAACGGAGAGCGGAAGUUUCGAUGGAAGCUCUUAGUGGCGGACGGGUGAGUAACGCGUGGAUAACCUGCCUGAGAGUGGGGGAUAACAGCCCGAAAGGGCUGCUAAUACCGCAUAACGUUCCUGGAGGACAUCCUCUGGGAACCAAAGGAGCAAUCCGCUCUUGGAUGGGUCCGCGUCCGAUUAGCUCGUUGGUGAGGUAAUAGCUCACCAAGGCGACGAUCGGUAGCCGGCCUGAGAGGGUGAACGGCCACACUGGGACUGAGACACGGCCCAGACUC
RNAcentral lists this ribosomal RNA (342 nucleotides) under Heliobacterium chlorum. Its description in RNAcentral is "bacterial SSU rRNA". It matches the Rfam family "Bacterial small subunit ribosomal RNA", at positions 1 to 338 of the family's 1533-position model. The record is from RNAcentral. Lineage: Bacteria; Bacillati; Bacillota; Clostridia; Eubacteriales; Heliobacteriaceae.